UACAGAGGGUGCGAGCGUUACUCGGAAUUACUGGGCGUAAAGCGUGCGCAGGCGGUUCGUGAUGUCUGAUGUGAAAGCCCCGGGCUCAACCUGGGAAUUGCAUUGGAAACUAGCGGGCUGGAGUGUGGCAGAGGGGGGUGGAAUUCCACGUGUAGCAGUGAAAUGCGUAGAGAUGUGGAGGAACACCGAUGGCGAAGGCAGCCCCCUGGGCUAACACUGACGCUCAUGCACGAAAGCGUGGGGAGCAAACAGG
RNAcentral lists this ribosomal RNA (253 nucleotides) under uncultured bacterium. Its description in RNAcentral is "partial 16S ribosomal RNA". It matches the Rfam family "Bacterial small subunit ribosomal RNA", at positions 524 to 776 of the family's 1533-position model. The record is from RNAcentral.